RNAcentral lists this ribosomal RNA (467 nucleotides) under uncultured bacterium. RNAcentral describes it as "bacterial SSU rRNA". It matches the Rfam family "Bacterial small subunit ribosomal RNA", at positions 28 to 507 of the family's 1533-position model. The record is from RNAcentral.
GACGAACGCUGGCGGCGUGCUUAACACAUGCAAGUCGAACGGAGUUAAGGAGCUUGCUUCUUAACUUAGUGGCGAACGGGUGAGUAACGCGUGAGGAACCUGCCUUUCAGUGGGGGACAACAGUUGGAAACGACUGCUAAUACCGCAUGAUACUAUUGAGUGGCAUCACUUGAUAGUCAAAGAUUUAUUGCUGAAAGAUGGCCUCGCGUCUGAUUAGCUAGUUGGUGGGGUAACGGCCCACCAAGGCGACGAUCAGUAGCCGGACUGAGAGGUUGACCGGCCACAUUGGGACUGAGAUACGGCCCAGACUCCUACGGGAGGCAGCAGUGGGGAAUAUUGGGCAAUGGGCGAAAGCCUGACCCAGCAACGCCGCGUGAAGGAAGAAGGGCCCUUCGGGUUGUAAACUUCUUUACCUAGGGACGAACACAAUGACGGUACCUGGAGAAAAAGCAACGGCUAACUACGUG